CAUGCAGUCGAGGGGUAGAAAGUGCUUGCACUUUUGAGACCGGCGCACGGGUGAGUAACGCGUAUGCMAUCUACCUUAUACAGGGGAAUASCCCAGGGAAACUUGGAUUAAYGCCCCAUAGUAUUAAAGAGCGGCAUUGUUCUUUAAUUAAAGAUUUAUCGGUAUAAGAUGAGCAUGCGUACCAUUAGCUAGUUGGUGUGGUAACGGCACACCAAGGCUACGAUGGUUAGGGGCCCUGAGAGGGGGAUCCCCCACACUGGUACUGARACACGGACCAGACUCCUACGGGRGGCAGCAGUGAGGAAUAUUGGACAAUGGGCGAGAGCCUGAUCCMGCCAUGCCGCGUGCAGGAAGACGGCCCUAUGGGUUGUAAACUGCUUUUUUACGGGAAGAAACACCUCUACGUGUAGAGGCUUGACGGUACCGUACGAAUAAGGACCGGCUAACUCCGUGCCAGCAGCCGCGGUAAUACGGAGGGUCCGAGCGUUAUCCGGAAUCAUUGGGUUUAAAGGGUCCGUAGGCGGGCAACUAAGUCAGUGGUGAAAUUCUGCAGCUCAACUGUAGAACUGCCAUUGAUACUGGUUGUCUUGAAUCGUUGUGAAGUGGCUAGAAUAUGUAGUGUAGCGGUGAAAUGCUUAGAUAUUACAUAGAAUACCGAUUGCGAAGGCAGGUCACUAACAACGUAUUGACGCUGAUGGACGAAAGCGUGGGGAGCGAACAGGAUUAGAUACCCUGGUAGUCCACGCCGUAAACGAUGGAUACUAGCUGUCCGGUGCACAUUGGUGUGCUGGGUGGCCAAGCGAAAGUGAUAAGUAUCCCACCUGGGGAGUACGUUCGCAAGAAUGAAACUCAAAGGAAUUGACGGGGGCCCGCACAAGCGGUGGAGCAUGUGGUUUAAUUCGAUGAUACGCGAGGAACCUUACCAGGGUUUAAAUGUAGUCUGACAGGCGUGGAAACAUGCUUUUYUUYGGACAGAUUACAAGGUGCUGCAUGGUUGUYGUCAGCUCGUGCCGUGAGGUGUCAGGUUAAGUCCUAUAACGAGCGCAACCCCUGUUGUUAGUUGCCAGCGAGUCAUGUYGGGAACUYUAACAAGACUGCCAGUGCAAACUGUGAGGAAGGUGGGGAUGACGUCAAAUCAUCACGGCCCUUACGUCCUGGGCCACMCACGUGSUACAAUGGCAGGUACAAUGGGCAGCCACUGCGCAAGCAGGAGCGAAUCCACAAAACCUGUYUCAGUUYGGAUCGGGGUYUGCAACUCGACCCCGUGAAGCGGAAUCGCUAGUAAUCGGAUAUCAGCCAUGAUCCGGUGAAUACGUUCCCGGGCCUUGUACACMCCGCCCGUCAAGCCAUGGAAGCUGGAAGCACCUGAAGUCCGUCACCGCAAGGAG
Molecule: ribosomal RNA, 1388 nt
Filed under: Aequorivita antarctica
Lineage: Bacteria; Pseudomonadati; Bacteroidota; Flavobacteriia; Flavobacteriales; Flavobacteriaceae
Description: bacterial SSU rRNA
Source: RNAcentral